AGUGAACGCUGGCGGUAGGCCUAACACAUGCAAGUCGAACGGCAGCACAGGAGAGCUUGCUCUCUGGGUGGCGAGUGGCGGACGGGUGAGGAAUACAUCGGAAUCUACUUUUUCGUGGGGGAUAACGUAGGGAAACUUACGCUAAUACCGCAUACGACCUACGGGUGAAAGCAGGGGAUCUUCGGACCUUGCGCGAUUGAAUGAGCCGAUGUCGGAUUAGCUAGUUGGCGGGGUAAAGGCCCACCAAGGCGACGAUCCGUAGCUGGUCUGAGAGGAUGAUCAGCCACACUGGAACUGAGACACGGUCCAGACUCCUACGGGAGGCAGCAGUGGGGAAUAUUGGACAAUGGGCGCAAGCCUGAUCCAGCCAUACCGCGUGGGUGAAGAAGGCCUUCGGGUUGUAAAGCCCUUUUGUUGGGAAAGAAAUCCAGCUGGCUAAUACCCGGUUGGGAUGACGGUACCCAAAGAAUAAGCACCGGCUAACUUCG
This 488-nucleotide ribosomal RNA is filed under the name uncultured Stenotrophomonas sp. RNAcentral's name for it is "bacterial SSU rRNA". It matches the Rfam family "Bacterial small subunit ribosomal RNA", at positions 29 to 505 of the family's 1533-position model. The record is from RNAcentral. Lineage: Bacteria; Pseudomonadati; Pseudomonadota; Gammaproteobacteria; Lysobacterales; Lysobacteraceae.